RNAcentral lists this long non-coding RNA (253 nucleotides) under Ananas comosus (pineapple). RNAcentral's name for it is "long non-coding RNA (ACOM_LNC006448)". The record is from RNAcentral. Lineage: Eukaryota; Viridiplantae; Streptophyta; Magnoliopsida; Poales; Bromeliaceae.
UAUAUAUAGUGUGCGGCUAGGAUGCUUAUGGAAGUACGGAAGGCUUCAUGCUUCCAUUUUGUUUUCGAUGUUCGGACUUUCGAAUCGACGAUCGGCUCCGUUAGACUUGAUCUAGAAUAUUUGAAGUAUUUAGAAAAUAAAUUUUGCGAUUUUUUGAUAUCAUUUGCCUAGUGAUCGAAGUGGCUCAAAAUCAACGGCUGAAAAUAAAAAUCUUACAAAAUAUGAUGAUAUGACAUUAAAAUUUUAGAUCAAA